This is a long non-coding RNA of Brassica napus (rape), 1451 nucleotides long. RefSeq lists it as uncharacterized. The record is from RefSeq and is a predicted model, not a curated record. The transcript has 2 exons. NCBI's taxonomy places the organism in Eukaryota, Viridiplantae, Streptophyta, Magnoliopsida, Brassicales, Brassicaceae.
UUGAGCAAUCCGUUUAAACAUUCUAAGUGAAGGUAUAUCUGGUUUAUACUUUACCUUUUUGAAUAUUUUGAUUGGUUAAAAUUGGUUGUAUUUCCAACUAAGAUUGCACAAUUAAUUGAAUAUCUUCCAACUUUUUUCUCCAAACAAUUAGUUUGAGUUCCGUUUCAUAGAGUAAAAUUACACUACUGUACCAAAAAUACAGCUUCAUUUUGCAAUGUCCCAACCAAAAAAAAAUUAAAAGUACAUGCAUUUUUUUCCUACAUUUUUAGGGUGGUUAUUACAAUGAAUACUAAUAAUAAAUAGCUAGUGGCUCUUCUAGCUUUUAUAAUGUUCUCGGACGUACGACUUCUCAGGAUGUCUAAGAAACAAAGAAGAUGAGAAAGACAUGUCCCGGUUCAGUCCAAACUGGAAUCAUCCAAAUUAUUCUCUACCUCUAUUACAUGUGUGGCUUCCACGCUACUUCAUCUCUCCUACAAGUAUACAAGAAAAUUGGCUACCCCGAAUACUGUUUUUUUUAACUCGGAGUGUAUCUUCUUGACUAAUCCUCCAAGGAGACAGGAAGACGACUAAUCCGAUACCGGACUUUUUGAUGAGGCCUUAAGCAUGGUCCUAUUAUCGUCUGGCCAAGAAGAAGUUCAAAGAACAUCAACUGGGUUUCCUGGCUUGCCGCACUGAAAAAGCGACCACCCGAGCCCAUUGCUUCAGCUUCUGCUUCACUGUCUUCCGAUCGUCACCUUUUUAAUUUUAUCAAAUCGUGAUAUCAAAAAUUAAAUAACAGAAAAACACUUCUAAGCUUUGGAUGUUUUAUCCUGUGGAAAAAACCUACCAAAAGCAUGAUCAUGCCUGGAACUAGUUGAGCCUUAAGGUGACUACCACAGAAAAAUAGAUCCCACAAUUUGAAUUCACAUACCUUUGUCGAGAACCGUUGUGGUGCUAGAGCUAAUGCUGUCAGUUUCCGAUGCGAACGACGAAGUUCGGGACAAAUGGUUACAAUAUUGUCUAUGAACAGCACAGUACAAAUCUAGAGCCGGGAUUGUAUCGGUGAGCCUUUGAUUCAAGUCAGGAGAAUCUGGCUCAAACCCAAACCCAAGCUCGAUGCAACCUCUAAGCUCCUCGACAUCGUCGUUCGUGACGCUCUUGCUUCGAGGAAUGAGAUCCACUGAUCGUUUCUUUUUCUUCCGGAGCCAAGCCUCGUUGCGGUUCACAUCAUGCGGCCAUGAGUGCUGCUUGGUAAGAUCCCUCGGUGGCUGUGGUGCGUUGUGGCGUGACAUUGUAGUGGUGAGGUCUUUUAUUCUCUACGGACCACUUUUAAUAUGCAAGACAUCUUUAUCUACCCAAAAAGAGACCGUUUAUUUUGAAUAUAAUGCCUCUAAUUGUUUUUACUAAAAUUUGGGGGUUGUUUUUGUAUUCAUAAAGACAAGAUUUUGAGGUACAUCAUAUUAUUAAAUGUA